CCACUGCUUUGUUUCAGCAGGGAUGGUGGUAGCAGGCUGCUACCUGCCAGGCUGUGUGUGCAGGGGAUAUGUGGGAAACCUCUGUUCCUUCCUCUCAAUUUUGCUCUGAAUCUAAAACCCUGCUUAAAAAAGUCAAUUCUUAAAAAAAACAGGAUGGAGACAAACCUUUCAGAUACAAUACAUGAACUUGGGUUCAAAAACAGUAAGAAAACUCUCUCCGGGGCAAUUACAGAAAUUAGCAAGUCAAGAAGGGUGACCAAGUUGUUCACCUUUUAGUACCUGCAGCUGGUCAUGCAUGUCUGGUACCUGAGGCCUCAGUAAAUGCUGAAAAUUUCAUUUAAAAACCAGAACACGUCUCAGGACAGAGGCUGCAGUGAAGGAGGUGGGACACAGAGGUACUCGCAUCCCGUGCCUUGGGCCCCUCACUCCAGGACGUUAGUAUCAUCCGCACUAAAAGAACAGUGCGUUCUGGCCAUUCUGGGACCUAAGCAGGGGCCAGCCAGACCUCAGCAUCCUUCACAUCUGUCCUGCUGGCCACGGUGUCUGGGGAGAGCUGUGCCACCCCCCUGCUCUGAUCACACCUACCUUCUCCGGGGGACUGGCUGGUGCCCAGAGUGGGAAAUGAAACAUGUCUUCAAUUGUUGA
This 645-nucleotide long non-coding RNA is filed under the name Pan paniscus (pygmy chimpanzee). RNAcentral describes it as "lncRNA (ENSPPAG00000044450.1)". Lineage: Eukaryota; Metazoa; Chordata; Mammalia; Primates; Hominidae. The record is from RNAcentral.